CCUACGGGAGACAGCAGUGAGGAAUAUUGGUCAAUGGACGAGCGUCUGAACCAGCCAAGUAGCGUGAAGGAUGACUGCCCUAUGGGUUGUAAACUUCUUUUAUCUGGGAAUAAAAUGUUCCACGUGUGGGAUUUUGUAUGUACCAUAUGAAUAAGGAACGGCUAACUCCGUGCCAGCAGCCGCGGUAAUACGGAGGAUUCGAGCGUUUUCCGGAUUUAUUGGGUUUAAAGGGAGCGUAGGUGGAUAGUUAAGGCAGUUGUGAAAGUUUGCGGCUCAACCGUAACAUUGCAGUUGAAACUGGCAGUCUUGAGUACAGUAGAGGUGUGCGGAAUGCGUGGUGUAGCGGUGAAAUGCUUAGAUAUCACGAAGAACUCCGAUUGCGAAGGCAGUUCACUGGACUGCAACUGACACUGAGGCUCGAAAGUGUGGGUAUCAAACAGGAUUAGAUACCCUGGUAGUC
Molecule: ribosomal RNA, 460 nt
Filed under: uncultured bacterium
Lineage: Bacteria
Description: partial 16S ribosomal RNA
Rfam family: Bacterial small subunit ribosomal RNA
Source: RNAcentral